This 253-nucleotide ribosomal RNA is filed under the name uncultured bacterium. RNAcentral describes it as "partial 16S ribosomal RNA". It matches the Rfam family "Bacterial small subunit ribosomal RNA", at positions 524 to 776 of the family's 1533-position model. The record is from RNAcentral.
GACAGAGGGGGCUAGCGUUGCUCGGAAUCACUGGGCGUAAAGCGCACGUAGGCGGCUUUUUAAGUCAGGGGUGAAAUCCUGGAGCUCAACUCCAGAACUGCCUUUGAUACUGGGGAUCUCGAGUCCGGGAGAGGUGAGUGGAACUCCGAGUGUAGAGGUGAAAUUCGUAAAUAUUCGGAAGAACACCAGUGGCGAAGGCGGCUCACUGGCCCGGUACUGACGCUGAGGUGCGAAAGCGUGGGGAGCAAACAGG